RNAcentral lists this ribosomal RNA (468 nucleotides) under uncultured bacterium. RNAcentral describes it as "partial 16S ribosomal RNA". It matches the Rfam family "Bacterial small subunit ribosomal RNA", at positions 28 to 507 of the family's 1533-position model. The record is from RNAcentral.
GAUGAACGCUGGCGGCGUGCUUAACACAUGCAAGUCGAACGGAAAGGCCCAAGCUUGCUUGGGUACUCGAGUGGCGAACGGGUGAGUAACACGUGGGUGAUCUGCCCUGCACUUCGGGAUAAGCCUGGGAAACUGGGUCUAAUACCGGAUAGGACCACUUCUUGGAUGUUGUGGUGGAAAGUUUUUUCGGUGUGGGAUGAGCUCGCGGCCUAUCAGCUUGUUGGUGGGGUAAUGGCCUACCAAGGCGUCGACGGGUAGCCGGCCUGAGAGGGUGUACGGCCACAUUGGGACUGUGAUACGGCCCAGACUCCUACGGGAGGCAGCAGUGGGGAAUAUUGCACAAUGGGCGCAAGCAUGAUGAAGCGACGCCGCGUGGGGGAUGACGGCCUUCGGGUUGUAAACUCCUUUCGCUAGGGACGAAGCGUUUUUGUGACGGUACCUGGAGAAGAAGCACCGGCUAACUACGUG